AACGGCUGAACCAGCAACUAGGAGGAAUGUAAAAUUCUUGUAAAAAGGAAUUUUCUAUAUUUGUAUAUCAAAAUAGGGUUAACAUAGUUAAGUAAAAUUCCAAAUAGAAAUUGAUUAUGACAGUUUCUAUGAGUAUGUCUUGACCAAUUCAUGUGCCAGCAGUCGCGGUAACACAUGUAAGACUGGUGUUAUUCAUCUUUAAUAGGUUUAAAGGGUACCUAGACAGUUAAUUAAGCCUAAAAUGGGUACUAAUAUAACUAGAGUUUAAUGUAAGAAGAAGAGUACGGUGGUGUAGAGAUAAAAUUCUGUGAUACCACUUAGAAACUGGCAAAAGCGAAGGCAAUCUUCUAUGUAAAAACUGACGUUGAGGGACGAAGGCUCGUUAAAAAUAAUAGGAUUAGAUACCCUAGUAUUGUGGGCAGACAAUGAUGAAUGUCAUACGCAAGAAAUUUUUUGUGUAUAAAUGAAAGUGUAAGCAUUCCACCUCAAGAGUAAUAUGGCAACAUAUAAACUGAAAUCAUUAGACCGUUUCUGAAACUCGUAGUGAAGUAUGUUGUUUAAUUUGAUAACCCACAAAGAACCUUACCACAAUUUGAAUAACUGCAGAACCGGUCCAGGUUCAUUUAUUAGCGCAGUUACAAGCGUUGCACGGCUGUCUUCAGUUAAUGUCGUGAGACUUUGGUUAGAUCCAUUUAAUUAACGUAUAACCCUUACUUUAUUUAUUAUAAAAUAGUUCGCCGCUAUAUUGGUAGUGAUAUAAGGGACCAAGACAAGU
RNAcentral lists this ribosomal RNA (775 nucleotides) under Fissurina sp. AFTOL 2101. RNAcentral describes it as "SSU rRNA". It matches the Rfam family "Bacterial small subunit ribosomal RNA", at positions 378 to 1190 of the family's 1533-position model. The record is from RNAcentral. Lineage: Eukaryota; Fungi; Ascomycota; Lecanoromycetes; Ostropales; Graphidaceae.